Molecule: ribosomal RNA, 494 nt
Filed under: uncultured bacterium
Lineage: Bacteria
Description: partial 16S ribosomal RNA
Rfam family: Bacterial small subunit ribosomal RNA
Source: RNAcentral
GAUGAACGCUGGCGGCGUGCUUAACACAUGCAAGUCGAGCGAAGCAGUUAAGUUGAUUUCUUCGGAUUGAUUCUUGACUGACUGAGCGGCGGACGGGUGAGUAACGCGUGGGUGACCUGCCCAUACCGGGGGAUAACAGCUGGAAACGGCUGCUAAUACCGCAUAAGCGCACAGAGCUGCAUGGCUCGGUGUGAAAAACUCCGGUGGUAUGGGAUGGGCCCGCGUCUGAUUAGGUAGUUGGCGGGGUAACGGCCCACCAAACCGACGAUCAGUAGCCGGCCUGAGAGGGCGACCGGCCACAUUGGGACUGAGACACGGCCCAAACUCCUACGGGAGGCAGCAGUGGGGAAUAUUGCACAAUGGGGGAAACCCUGAUGCAGCGACGCCGCGUGAGCGAAGAAGUAUUUCGGUAUGUAAAGCUCUAUCAGCAGGGAAGAUAAUGACGGUACCUGACUAAGAAGCCCCGGCUAACUACGUGCCAGCCGCCGCCGUAA